This 393-nucleotide unclassified non-coding RNA is filed under the name soil metagenome. Its description in RNAcentral is "partial contains 5.8S ribosomal RNA, internal transcribed spacer 2, and large subunit ribosomal RNA". The stretch from base 1 to 122 matches the Rfam family "5.8S ribosomal RNA", at positions 35 to 154 of the family's 154-position model. The record is from RNAcentral.
GAUGAAGAACGUAGUGAAAUGCGAUACUUGGUGUGAAUUGCAGAAUCCCGUGAACCAUCGAGUCUUUGAACGCAAGUUGCGCCCGAAGCCACUAGGCCGAGGGCACGCCUGCCUGGGCGUCACACGUCGUUGCCCCCCCCCCAUCUACUCCUUCGGGAUUGCGGGGGGCGGAGGAUGGCCUCCCGUGCGCCUAGCCGCGCGGUUGGCAUAAAUACCAAGUCCUCGGCGACGCACGCCACGACAAUCGGUGGUUGCGAAACCUCGGUUGCCCGUCGUGUGCGUUCGUCGCGCAUCGAGGGCUCGAAAAAAUGCUCGGCUCCGGCUCGGCUUUCAACGCGACCCCAGGUCAGGCGGGGUUACCCGCUGAAUUUAAGCAUAUCAAUAAGCGGAGGA